RNAcentral lists this ribosomal RNA (438 nucleotides) under uncultured bacterium. RNAcentral describes it as "bacterial SSU rRNA". It matches the Rfam family "Bacterial small subunit ribosomal RNA", at positions 958 to 1397 of the family's 1533-position model. The record is from RNAcentral.
AACGCGAAGAACCUUACCCAGAUUUGAAAUACAGGGGAAUACAGCAGAAAUGUUGUAGUCCGCAAGGACCGCUGUACAGGUGCUGCAUGGCUGUCGUCAGCUCGUGCCGUGAGGUGUUGGGUUAAGUCCCGCAACGAGCGCAACCCUUAUCAUUAGUUGCCAACACGCGAGGUGGGGACUCUAAUGAGACUGCCUGGGUUAACCAGGAGGAAGGUGAGGAUGACGUCAAGUCCGCAUGGCCUUUAUAUCUGGGGCUACACACGUGCUACAAUGGUCGGUACAGAAGGCAGCAAGACCGCAAGGUGGAGCAAAUCCGUAAAGCCGAUCUCAGUUCAGAUUGUAGUCUGCAACUCGACUACAUGAAGCUGGAAUUGCUAGUAAUGACGUGUCAGCAACAACGUCGUGAAUACGUUCCCGGGCCUUGUACACACCGGCUAC